CUAGUAGCUGCAAUACACCACCACAGCAUAAAGCAGUCAACCCAUUCAGAAAGAUUUUCAACCGUUUCAUGCGCCUGAUACGAAAAAAGCGAUCCAGAGUUGAGCCUUUACGGGAGGAUGCCGAGCAGAGUGGACUUGAGAUCCCCCAGCCUGUGGAGUCACUCCGUGUUCUAGAGGAUGUCAACAGACCAAUGAAUGAACAAAUUGACCUGGUCCAGUUGGUCAAAGUGGUUGAGGGACCUGUAGGCAGGCUGUACUCAGCAAGUGCAGUGACGCCCCACACCUCAGUGCCUCCCCCAGCUCCCUGUACACUCCUGUUUCAAUAAAGUUCUUUUGUGUUUCAAGCA
Molecule: long non-coding RNA, 347 nt
Organism: Brienomyrus brachyistius
Lineage: Eukaryota; Metazoa; Chordata; Actinopteri; Osteoglossiformes; Mormyridae
Exons: 3
Source: RefSeq, a predicted model, not a curated record